RNAcentral lists this ribosomal RNA (484 nucleotides) under uncultured bacterium. Its description in RNAcentral is "partial 16S ribosomal RNA". It matches the Rfam family "Bacterial small subunit ribosomal RNA", at positions 30 to 507 of the family's 1533-position model. The record is from RNAcentral.
AUUGAACGCUGGCGGCAUGCCUUACACAUGCAAGUCGAACGGCAGCGCGGGAGCAAUCCUGGCGGCGAGUGGCGAACGGGUGAGUAAUACAUCGGAACGUGCCCAAUCGCGGGGGAUAACGCAGCGAAAGCUGUGCUAAUACCGCAUACGAUCUACGGAUGAAAGCAGGGGAUCGCAAGACCUUGCGCCAAUGGAGCGGCCGAUGGCAGAUUAGGUAGUUGGUGAGGUAAAGGCUCACCAAGCCUUCGAUCUGUAGCUGGUCUGAGAGGACGACCAGCCACACUGGGACUGAGACACGGCCCAGACUCCUACGGGAGGCAGCAGUGGGGAAUUUUGGACAAUGGGCGAAAGCCUGAUCCAGCCAUGCCGCGUGCAGGAUGAAGGCCUUCGGGUUGUAAAGUGCUUUUGUACGGAACGAAACGGUCUUUUCUAAUAAAGAAGGCUAAUGACGGUACCGUAAGAAUAAGCACCGGCUAACUACGUG